AGAAUAUUGAUGGUUGGGAGGGGAAAGA
RNAcentral lists this non-coding RNA (28 nucleotides) under Cricetulus griseus (Chinese hamster). Lineage: Eukaryota; Metazoa; Chordata; Mammalia; Rodentia; Cricetidae. The record is from RNAcentral.